UCUGAGAUAUAUGAGGAAAAGAGAAAAUCCAGUGAACUCACUAUCGUGUGUUUCAUCUGAUCCCGAGGUUUCCUGCUGGUCUGCCUCCUUCUCUUCUCCUUUCAGAGACUCUGUAUGUUUGUUUUAUAAAUAAUAUAUAGGAUGUUUUUGUUGUACUUAGAAGGAAGAUUAAGAAAAAAGUAUGUCCACUCCAUCUUCCUGGAACUGGAAGUUUCUUUUUUCUUUUAAGGCUAACAGCUGUAACCCAUUACACUAAAUCCUUCCUCUGACUAUCCCAAUCUCUCAUAAAUUUGAUGCCAGAGGAACAGAAACAUGGAGUUCGCCCAUCCCUGUUCAGCUGGAGAUGAACUCACAUCAGGGAGCAGUUUGUGUUGCAGCCAGAGAAACUGCAGCACGAAUAAAAAGCACAAAGAGCACAGGCUAUUGAGGCAGAAACCCCUGGUUUCCUGUGUUAGCCUAUCCCUUGUUCUGUCUAUUAAUCUUAUUAGUCUCUAUCAGAGUCAGUGAUUUGGAGCUUAAAUUUUUAUUUAAGCUUUGCCCACAGAUUGAGGUAAGUAAUUCAAAGAUAAUAGAUGGCUAAUAUUUUUAUUUUAUGUUAGAAAAUAAUUAAGAAAUUUAAAGUACAUUUUACUUUUACAGGCAUUGAAGAAAAAUUUAGGCCUUUUUAUUUAAGUCAAUUAGAAGAAAGUGUAGAAGAGGACGUGAAGAGUUUAAAGGUAGGCAAUAUAGCAGAUGCUCAAAAUAUUAACAUAGCAAAAUAUAUACUGUCAAUCAUGAAAACCAAAACAAAGUGAUUUGUUAUUGAGAUUUGAGGUAAGCUAGCUUGGUAAACAUAUAAAACAAAAUGAGCAAUUGUCUGCACAUAUCAUCCUGUUGGCAUACUGGACCCAUUUCUCCUUCAAAACUCAUGAAAUGAGAGAAAACAUAUAUAGCAAUAUGAAAACAAAAGCACAAUG
RNAcentral lists this long non-coding RNA (956 nucleotides) under Homo sapiens (human). RNAcentral's name for it is "long non-coding RNA NONHSAT106973.2". Lineage: Eukaryota; Metazoa; Chordata; Mammalia; Primates; Hominidae. The record is from RNAcentral.